This 1381-nucleotide ribosomal RNA is filed under the name uncultured bacterium. RNAcentral's name for it is "bacterial SSU rRNA". It matches the Rfam family "Bacterial small subunit ribosomal RNA", at positions 18 to 1394 of the family's 1533-position model. The record is from RNAcentral.
CCUGGCUCAGGAUGAACGCUAGCUACAGGCUUAACACAUGCAAGUCGAGGGGCAGCAUGGUCUUAGCUUGCUAAGGCCGAUGGCGACCGGCGCACGGGUGAGUAACACGUAUCCAACCUGCCGUCUACUCUUGGACAGCCUUCUGAAAGGAAGAUUAAUACAAGAUGGCAUCAUGAGUCCGCAUGUUCACAUGAUUAAAGGUAUUCCGGUAGACGAUGGGGAUGCGCUCCAUUAGAUAGUAGGCGGGGUAACGGCCCACCUAGUCUUCGAUGGAUAGGGGUUCUGAGAGGAAGGUCCCCCACAUUGGAACUGAGACACGGUCCAAACUCCUACGGGAGGCAGCAGUGAGGAAUAUUGGUCAAUGGGCGAGAGCCUGAACCAGCCAAGUAGCGUGAAGGAUGACUGCCCUAUGGGUUGUAAACUUCUUUUAUAAAGGAAUAAAGUCGGGUAUGGAUACCCGUUUGCAUGUACUUUAUGAAUAAGGAUCGGCUAACUCCGUGUCAGCAGCCGCGGUAAUACGGAGGAUCCGAGCGUUAUCCGGAUUUAUUGGGUUUAAAGGGAGCGUAGAUGGAUGUUUAAGUCAGUUGUGAAAGUUUGCGGCUCAACCGUAAAAUUGCAGUUGAUACUGGAUAUCUUGAGUGCAGUUGAGGCAGGCGGAAUUCGUGGUGUAGCGGUGAAAUGCUUAGAUAUCACGAAGAACUCCGAUUGCGAAGGCAGCCUGCUAAGCUGCAACUGACAUUGAGGCUCGAAAGUGUGGGUAUCAAACAGGAUUAGAUACCCUGGUAGUCCACACGGUAAACGAUGAAUACUCGCUGUUUGCGAUAUACUGCAAGCGGCCAAGCGAAAGCGUUAAGUAUUCCACCUGGGGAGUACGCCGGCAACGGUGAAACUCAAAGGAAUUGACGGGGGCCCGCACAAGCGGAGGAACAUGUGGUUUAAUUCGAUGAUACGCGAGGAACCUUACCCGGGCUUAAAUUGCAGAUGAAUUACGGUGAAAGCCGUAAGCCGCAAGGCAUCUGUGAAGGUGCUGCAUGGUUGUCGUCAGCUCGUGCCGUGAGGUGUCGGCUUAAGUGCCAUAACGAGCGCAACCCUUGUUGUCAGUUACUAACAGGUUCCGCUGAGGACUCUGACAAGACUGCCAUCGUAAGAUGUGAGGAAGGUGGGGAUGACGUCAAAUCAGCACGGCCCUUACGUCCGGGGCUACACACGUGUUACAAUGGGGGGUACAGAGGGCCGCUACCACGCGAGUGGAUGCCAAUCCCCAAAACCUCUCUCAGUUCGGACUGGAGUCUGCAACCCGACUCCACGAAGCUGGAUUCGCUAGUAAUCGCGCAUCAGCCACGGCGCGGUGAAUACGUUCCCGGGCCUUGUACACACCGCC